AUUGAACGCUGGCGGCAGGCCUAACACAUGCAAGUCGAGCGAGAAAGCCUUCGGGUGAGUACAGCGGCGGACGGGUGAGUAACGCGUAGGAAUCUACCUGGUAGUGGGGGACAACAUGGGGAAACCCAUGCUAAUACCGCAUACGCCCUAUGGGGGAAAGCGGGGGACCUUCGGGCCUCGCGCUAUCAGAUGAGCCUGCGUAGGAUUAGCUUGUUGGUGAGGUAAAGGCUCACCAAGGCGACGAUCCUUAGCUGGUCUGAGAGGAUGAUCAGCCACACUGGAACUGAGACACGGUCCAGACUCCUACGGGAGGCAGCAGUGGGGAAUAUUGCGCAAUGGGCGAAAGCCUGACGCAGCCAUGCCGCGUGUGUGAAGAAGGCCUCGGUUGUUAAGACGACUUCUAUUAGGUAGAAAGGUUAGGUAGGUUAAGUUAACUAGACCUAGCUGUGACGUUACCGUUUACG
Molecule: ribosomal RNA, 464 nt
Filed under: uncultured bacterium
Lineage: Bacteria
Description: bacterial SSU rRNA
Rfam family: Bacterial small subunit ribosomal RNA
Source: RNAcentral